This 506-nucleotide antisense RNA is filed under the name Pan troglodytes (chimpanzee). The stretch from base 167 to 253 matches the Rfam family "ZNFX1 antisense RNA 1 conserved region 3". Lineage: Eukaryota; Metazoa; Chordata; Mammalia; Primates; Hominidae. The record is from RNAcentral.
CGGCUCGGAGUGUGGUGCUUCUGCUGGUUGCAGUCAGGCUUCAUACGCUAUUGUCCUGCCCGUUAGAGCAGCCAGCGGGUACAGAAUGGAUUUUGGAAGAGGGAGUCACCACUGGACCUCCAAGGAAGCCACGUGCAGACGUCUACAACCUUCGAUCUCCUGACGAGUUUAUUGUUGGCCAAAACCAGGCUUUGAUUGAACCAGGAUGAAUGCGGGUGUUGGAAGUAGAAUAUAUAUAUACAUAUAAAAUUGGUUGGGAGCCACGUGUACCAGUGUGUGUUGAUCUUGGCUUGAUUCAGUCUGCCUUGUAACAGAUUUUGCCUGCCUGAGCUCCUCUAGUAGUGGCCACAAUUGCCAGAGAAGAUAGAGCAGGUCUCUCCCAGGACUUGCAGCUCCAGCCUGUGUCUGCAAGGGGUGUUGUAGGGACUGAUUUCUCCAGCCCGUGGCAAGAGGCCUUCAUCUUGUGCCUGGAAAGAGGGAAGUACAAGUCCGUCUGGCAGAGAUGG